CGAAAUGCGAUAAGUAGUGUGAAUUGCAGAAUUCAGUGAAUCAUCGAAUCUUUGAACGCACAUUGCGCCCCUUGGUAUUCCAUGGGGCAUGCCUGUUCGAGCGUCAUCUACACCCUCAAGCUCUGCUUGGUGUUGGGCGUCUGUCCCGCCCCCGCGCGUGGACUCGCCCCAAAUCCAUUGGCAGCGUUCCUUGCCCCCUCUCGCGCAGCACAUUGCGCUUCUCGAGGGCGGCUCCGGGACGCGAUCCAGCAAGAUGACCACCGUCUUUGACCUCGGAUCAGGUAGGGAUACCCGCUGAACUUAAGC
Molecule: unclassified non-coding RNA, 306 nt
Filed under: plant metagenome
Description: partial contains 5.8S ribosomal RNA, internal transcribed spacer 2, and large subunit ribosomal RNA
Rfam family: 5.8S ribosomal RNA (bases 1-106)
Source: RNAcentral